UCGAGUGGCGAACGGGUGAGUAACACGUGGGUGAUCUGCCUUGCACUUCGGGAUAAGCUUGGGAAACUGGGUCUAAUACCGGAUAGGACAGCUGUUUAGUGUCAGUUGUGGAAAGUUUUUUCGGUGCAAGAUGAGCUCGCGGCCUAUCAGCUUGUUGGUGGGGUAAUGGCCUACCAAGGCGUCGACGGGUAGCCGGCCUGAGAGGGUGGACGGCCACAUUGGGACUGAGAUACGGCCCAGACUCC
Molecule: ribosomal RNA, 245 nt
Filed under: uncultured Corynebacterium sp.
Lineage: Bacteria; Bacillati; Actinomycetota; Actinomycetes; Mycobacteriales; Corynebacteriaceae
Description: partial 16S ribosomal RNA
Rfam family: Bacterial small subunit ribosomal RNA
Source: RNAcentral